GCCCAGCUAGCUCAGUUGGUGGAGUGUGUGACUCUUGAUCUCAGGGUUGUGAGUUCUAACCCCACACUGGGUG
Molecule: transfer RNA, 73 nt
Filed under: Ailuropoda melanoleuca (giant panda)
Lineage: Eukaryota; Metazoa; Chordata; Mammalia; Carnivora; Ursidae
Rfam family: tRNA
About the family: Transfer RNA (tRNA) molecules are approximately 80 nucleotides in length.
Source: Rfam by way of RNAcentral